AUUGAACGCUGGCGGCAGGCCUAACACAUGCAAGUCGAGCGGAGGAAGGGAGCUUGCUCCUGGAUUCAGCGGCGGACGGGUGAGUAAUGCCUAGGAAUCUGCCUGGUAGUGGGGGAUAACGUCCGGAAACGGGCGCUAAUACCGCAUACGUCCUGAGGGAGAAAGUGGGGGAUCUUCGGACCUCACGCUAUCAGAUGAGCCUAGGUCGGAUUAGCUAGUUGGUGGGGUAAAGGCCUACCAAGGCGACGAUCCGUAACUGGUCUGAGAGGAUGAUCAGUCACACUGGAACUGAGACACGGUCCAGACUCCUACGGGAGGCAGCAGUGGGGAAUAUUGGACAAUGGGCGAAAGCCUGAUCCAGCCAUGCCGCGUGUGUGAAGAAGGUCUUCGGAUUGUAAAGCACUUUAAGUUGGGAGGAAGGGCAGUAAGUUAAUACCUUGCUGUUUUGACGUUACCAACAGAAUAAGCACCGGCUAACUACGUG
This 484-nucleotide ribosomal RNA is filed under the name uncultured bacterium. Its description in RNAcentral is "partial 16S ribosomal RNA". It matches the Rfam family "Bacterial small subunit ribosomal RNA", at positions 30 to 507 of the family's 1533-position model. The record is from RNAcentral.